Long non-coding RNA from Serinus canaria (Common canary), 828 nucleotides. RefSeq lists it as uncharacterized. The record is from RefSeq and is a predicted model, not a curated record. NCBI's taxonomy places the organism in Eukaryota, Metazoa, Chordata, Aves, Passeriformes, Fringillidae. The transcript is spliced from 6 exons.
UGCAGGAGGUACUUGGCACUCUCAAACCAGCCCAAGUUGGCACUGGUGCCAGCUUGGUCCUGGGAGGCAUCCUGCGAUAUGCGGAAUUUUAAAAGCCAGAAGGCUGCUCUGAGCCACCGGCCCUGGAACAAAAAACCGCCCCUUUUCCCAGGAGCCAGAAGGCUGCUCUGAGCCACCGGCCCUGCAACACCAACGCUGCCCCUUUUCCCAGUUUGCAGGAGGUACUUGGCACUCUCAAACCAGCCCAAGUUGGCACUGGUGCCAGCUUGGUCCUGGGAGGCAUCCUGCGAUAUGCGGAAUUUUAAAAGCCAGAAGGCUGCUCUGAGCCACCGGCCCUGGAACAAAAAACCGCCCCUUUUCCCAGUUUGCAGGAGGUACUUGGCACUCUCAAACCAGCCCAAGUUGGCACUGGUGCCAGCUUGUUCCUGGGAGGCAUCCUGCGAUAUGCGGAAUUUUAGGAGCCAGAAGGCUGCUCUGAGCCACCGGCCCUGCAACACCAACGCUGCCCCUUUUCCCAGUUUGCAGGAGGUACUUGGCACUCUCAAACCAGCCCAAGUUGGCACUGGUGCCAGCUUGGUCCUGGGAGGCAUCCUGCGAUAUGCGGAAUUUUAGGAGCCAGAAGGCUGCUCUGAGCCACCGGCCCUGCAACACCAACGCUGCCCCUUUUCCCAGUUUUCAGGAGGUACUUGGCACUCUCAAACCAGCCCAAGUUGGCACUGGUGCCAGCUUGGUCCUGGGAGGCAUCCUGCGAUAUGCGGAAUUUUAAAAGCCAGAAGGCUGCUCUGAGCCACAGCCCCUAGAACACAAAAACCGCCCCUUUUCCCUGGG